Molecule: ribosomal RNA, 407 nt
Filed under: uncultured bacterium
Lineage: Bacteria
Description: partial 16S ribosomal RNA
Rfam family: Bacterial small subunit ribosomal RNA
Source: RNAcentral
AUUGAACGCUGGCGGCAGGCCUAACACAUGCAAGUCGAGCGGAGCGGCGGACGGGUGCGUAAUGCCUAGGAAUCUGACUGGUAGUGGGGGAUAACGUCCGGUACCGGGCGCUAAUACUGCAUACUAUCAUAUGAGACUCGGUAGGAUUAGCUUGUGGGUGGGGUAAAGGCCUACCAAGGCGACGAUCAGUAACUGGUCUGAGAGGAUGAUCAGUCACACUGGAACUGAGACACGGUCCAGACUCCUACGGGAGGCAGCAGUGGGGAAUAUUGGACAAUGGGCGAAAGCCUGAUCCAGCCAUGCCGCGUGUAUGAAGAAGGUCUUCGGGUUGUAAAGCACUUUAAGUUGGGAGGCGUUACCAACAGAAGAAGCACCGGCUAACUUCGUGCCAGCAGCCGCGGUAAUAC